GGACUACUGGGGUUUCUAAUCCUGUUUGCUCCCCACGCUUUCGCACCUCAGCGUCAAUACCAGUCCAGUGAGCCGCCUUCGCCACUGGUGUUCUUCCGAAUAUCUACGAAUUUCACCUCUACACUCGGAAUUCCACUCACCUCUCCUGGAUUCAAGCGAUGCAGUCUUAAAGGCAAUUCUGGAGUUGAGCUCCAGGCUUUCACCUCUAACUUACAAAGCCGCCUACGUGCGCUUUACGCCCAGUAAUUCCGAAUAACGCUAGCUCCCUCCGUAUUACCGCGGCUGCUGGCAC
RNAcentral lists this ribosomal RNA (292 nucleotides) under uncultured bacterium. Its description in RNAcentral is "partial 16S ribosomal RNA". The record is from RNAcentral.